RNAcentral lists this ribosomal RNA (116 nucleotides) under Carlito syrichta (Philippine tarsier). The record is from RNAcentral. Lineage: Eukaryota; Metazoa; Chordata; Mammalia; Primates; Tarsiidae.
GUCUAUGGCCAUACUACCCUGAAUGCACCCAAUUUCGUCUGAUCUUGGAAGCUAAGCAGGGUCAGGCCUGGUUACUAUUUGAAUGAAAGAAAUUGGAUAUUUGAAUGUGGUUGAUU